GGGACAGUAUAGUUACUAAGUAUUUAAACUCAUGUGAGAAAACAUUACAAUGAAGGAGAUUUCUUCAAAGAAAUAACUCAGAACUUUAAAAUAAAAAGUUAAAGCUCAGAAAAAUACACAAAUACAAAACUUAGUGUUUACCAGUCAAUAAUAAUUCUGAAUAUGUUUAAAAAUGACAAUCCAAACACAUUGCAGUCUUGAAACAAGUUGAGGACAGAAAAAACCAAUGAAGGAAAGCUCUUAUGGGAAUACAGAUUUUCAGUGAAAAAAAUGAGCAAAUUAAAACCCUUCUCAGUCAGAGCAAAUAGGGUUUUCUCUUUGUGAAGUGAAUUGCCAUUUUUGGAGAAAGGUUUAAUUUAAUUUAGAGAGAUAAUUUAUAGUGUAGUUCCUGACUCUCAGCAUCAAUGUUCAAAGAAUGUUAAAAGUAAUUUUGUAAAGUACUUGCUGUGAACCCAGCCCAGUAUUUUGUAGACUGUUUUACUUCCCUGGGGCAGGUCCUACUACUACUGCCAGUCUUCAUUCUUCUUGAUAAUUGUUAGAAAUGCUCAGGGAAAGCGUUUCUUCAUCAACUUCACUGAAGGCUGUAUCUUCAACUUCAUAGUUGCAAGAACUUUAAAAAUCAGAUGCUUUAGAACCUCAAUUUCAGACUGAGGAAGGAAAGUAAAGAAUUUGUUAGUUCCCUUCUUUAAUUUACUAUGACAUCAUACUUGUGAAUAUUUAGAAUUUCAAGAGAGCAUUGUUAACAUCAAUUGCUGAACCCUUCAAUUCAGUUUAAAGACAUAAUCAACAAUAAAUGUAAAUUCAACUGGGCUAAUAGAUUUUCUUGUUUUUUUUCUUUUCAAAGUAAUAAUAAAUGUACUUUGCCCAAUAAUUCUAUGUUGCUGUAGAAAACAAAUGUAAUAUGUGCUGUUAUACUAUGCCCUACACGUUUAAGGUUUCUCUGAUUUCUCUUUUUCAAAGUUUACUUAAAAUUGUAUAGAAAUAUUCCCAAAGUUAGCAUUUAAGAAUUAACUCAAACAAAAUAUUAAUAAUAUACUAGAAUGUUGUCUGCUCAAAUGUGUUGGACAAAAUUUAUCAUGUAUAAUUUUAAUGAAAUUUAAUGAAUCUAGGUCUAUUCAAUGCCAAUGCAAUCUCUGUGUAAUGAAAUAUCCACACACUCUAUUGUAUAUUCUGUUUAUAUAUAAUCCAG
RNAcentral lists this long non-coding RNA (1189 nucleotides) under Marmota monax (woodchuck). The record is from RNAcentral. Lineage: Eukaryota; Metazoa; Chordata; Mammalia; Rodentia; Sciuridae.